Molecule: RNA transcript, 1346 nt
Organism: Populus trichocarpa (black cottonwood)
Lineage: Eukaryota; Viridiplantae; Streptophyta; Magnoliopsida; Malpighiales; Salicaceae
Gene name: tocopherol cyclase, chloroplastic
Exons: 2
Source: RefSeq, a predicted model, not a curated record
UCCUUAUUUUUCUUUGGCAAUUAAUAAUCCGGCUUUUUUGUUCAUAUUAUUUUUGAUAUCCAUCUUUUAGUUAAGCUGUUUGAUGUUUAUUUAUCAGAAAAAAAGAGGAUUAUCUUUGUAAAAUUCUCUUACUUCUUAUUGAUCUGUGGGUCUUCCUUCUUGUAUCCAUCCUUUCGUUUUUCCUUUCUUUUCCUUUCCUUCCCUCCUGAGAUAUGGACAAUGCUACAAGAUCAUUGAAUGAGUAUAGAGAAUAUGGAUCUUGAGUGUUUGAAUAGUGGGCCCUCCUGCUGCUCCAGGGGUCAAGAGGGAUUAAGUAUGUGAGACCACAGCAUUCAGAGGCUCGAGGGAUGGUUGUAUUAGAAUGUUUUUUGAAUAUUUUUAGAAGACAGUCUUGCAGAAAGUAUUGUGAUGGAAGCUGAUGUAUUCUCGGGAAUAAUUGUUGGAUUUUGAUUGGAUUGCAGGCUGGAUAGAGUGGGAGGGCGAAAGAUUUGAGUUCAAAGAUGAUCCUUCUUGUUCAGAAAAGAACUGGGGUGGAGCCUUCUCAAGAAAAUUGUUUUGGGUGAAAAUCCAUUUGUUUCUUCACAAGUCGCUUGUAGUCCAUAUACUUAGGUUUCAUUGUUGCUUGUUCCAUUAUAGAGAACGAACGACUUAAUCUAAUUUUCAACAUACAAAAUAUGCUACCAGGUAAAAAGGUUUUUCAAAUUAUAAUUUUGAUGCCUGAAUUUGGGAUGGCGGUGCUUUACUUGGGCCAAUAUGCAUUAUAAGAUGCAGUGACUUUUUCUGUGGUUAUUGAACCUGCUUUUUUCCUGAAUCUGAUCAGAUGGCUCACUUUUGAAUGUGCUGUAUAUCAGUGCAAAUUAUUUGUUAAGAAAUCAUUUCCUGGUAGGUCUUUUAUUGGAUAGAGCUUAUUUAAUUUUCUAGGAUGAUCCCCGAGAAAAUGAGCCGCUGAAGCAUCUGUGAGCUGUAAUUGUCUGCAUAUAUGUAGCCUGAAAAAGGAAAUAAUGGCAAAGAAAAGAAAAUCUAAUUGUCUGUAUGUUCAAUUGUUGAUGUUUUGCUGCAGCUUCAGUGUAAUGUCUUCGAAGGUACAAAAGGAGAGGUUACUUUGACAGCAGCUGGUGGAGUGAGGCAGUUGCCUGGACCAGCUGGCUCUGAGAUACAUGAAAAUGCUGCACUGAUUGGAGUACAUUCUGAUGGUAUUUUCUAUGAAUUGUGCCAUGGAACGGUGUUGUGAAUUGGGAAAUUUCUCAAUGGGGUUACUGGCACAUGUCUGCAGAGAACGAGAAACACUUGGAAAACUGUUAAAACAAUCUCUUCUUUCCUUGUGCUAGACUGCUAGUGCCAAUAGU